UGCCAGCUUGAUCCAGGGAAGACCUGUUUUCUAUGGGCCUGGGCCACAUAAACCAAACCACAAUCGGGCCAGAUAUGGCAUGCCAUCACAUAGACAGUGCCAUCUAUGCCAGGCCUGGCCCAUAUCUGGAUGACAUACACCUUAUCACGCCAGAAGUCAGCCAGCAGUGCCGCCUUGAUACCAGAUCUGGGCCAGACCUCCUUGCUAUGUGGGGGAGAGGCCGAUCCAUGACUGCUAAUGUUCCAUUGUGUGUGUGUUUAUACUGCACCGACAGUGUGUUUGAGAUUAUUGUCAUGCCAUCAAUUUUGAUGGAAUGAAUCAACACCACUGACUGAAAUGCAGCCCCAAAUCAUGGCAGGGCCUGUAGAUGGCUGUAGAUAUUCACUGUUGUGCCUCUCUCAUGAUAUACUCCAACUUUGUUUUAUUGAUUUCAACGAUGACAUACAAAGUUAGCAACAGCAAAGUCGAUCUUGAUUUCAGAACAGUUGUAUGUCCAUUGUCCCCUCCAACCCCCCCAUCACGAAUUCUCCCCCUACCAGGUCCACACUAGACAAGACACCGCAGAGAGCCAGUCUCUGCCCACACACACAAAAAAAGAAUAUCACAAGACCCAUACACAUAGCAAGCAUAACCCAAAAAAACAACAACAACCCCCCCCCCCCCACACACACACACAAAAAACAAAAUAAAACAAAAACAGAAACAGAAACAAAAAACAAAAAACAAAAAAGGGACCAAACAAAACCAAAGGAAAAACAAAUAAAUAAAGUAAAAAUAAGAUAAAAAAAAAAAAAAAAUCCAAACUUUAUAAUGUAGCUUCACUCAGUUCACUUCAGACUCCACCAGUAAGAGAGAUGAUUUCCAGAUUAUGUUAAAUUUCCUAAUAGAACCUUUUAGAGAGAAUCUAAGUUUUUCCAACUUUAAGUUAAAGAGUACAUCUCUCACCCAAUGAUUAUGAGUUGGGGGGUGAGGAAGCUUCCACUUCAACAGAAUAAGCCUCAGAGCUAGUAAAGUGGUAAAGGCUAGGGCCUGUUUGAGGGGGCCAGAUAAGUUCAAGUCGGGAGGAAUGCCAAAAAUUGCGGAGAGUGGAUUAGGAGGGACAGUCUGGCCAUAUGCUUGGCUAAGUUUGUCGAAUAUGUCGAAGACCAAAACAUGUGGACAUGGUUCAUAGGUGAUAGUCCACAUCUGCUACAGGGAUCACUAAUGGUUGGAUAGAUUUUAGAUAAUUUUGCGUUUGUAUAAUGUACUUUAUAGACCACCUUGCACUGAAUCAAAGCAUGACAGGCACAAAUUGAGGACGAGUGUAUCAAUUUCAAAGCAGAAUCCCACUGUCAUGGUCCCCGUGUCUGCCCGGCCAGCUCCACAAGGCCACAUGUGUUUGGUGUACAUUCUCCUCUCUCCUCCUCGCCAGGGCGGAGCUCACUGCAGGUUCCCGCCCUUGGCGCACACCUGCAUCUCGUCAGGCUCUGAUUACGGGUUGUGCUCUUAAGGCCGGGACGCAGACAGCCUCACUGCUGGAUGAUUAUGCUAGACACUUUUCCCCGGACCUGUGACUAACCUGUUGUUUCAACCACUGUAAAGAAGAAGAGCUAGCGUGUGAGUGACUCCAAUCCCGGACUUCCCUUUCGGACCUAGGACCCCCGUUCCCCUCACUGUAUAUAUCUGCACCUGGUGAUUGUGUAAAUAAAUGUUGUUUUCCCCUGAACUCUGCUCUGCGCCUGAGUCCUACUACACCGCAUG
This is a long non-coding RNA of Astatotilapia calliptera (eastern happy), 1740 nucleotides long. NCBI's taxonomy places the organism in Eukaryota, Metazoa, Chordata, Actinopteri, Cichliformes, Cichlidae. The record is from Ensembl.